This 691-nucleotide ribosomal RNA is filed under the name uncultured Actinomycetes bacterium. Its description in RNAcentral is "bacterial SSU rRNA". It matches the Rfam family "Bacterial small subunit ribosomal RNA", at positions 755 to 1448 of the family's 1533-position model. The record is from RNAcentral. Lineage: Bacteria; Bacillati; Actinomycetota; Actinomycetes.
GAAAGCUUGGGGAGCGAACAGGAUUAGAUACCUUGGUAGUCCACGCCGUAAACGGUGGGCACUAGUUGUGGGAACCUUCCACGGUUUCUGCGACGCAGCUAACGCAUUAAGUGCCCCGCCUGGGGAGUACGAUCGCAAGAUUAAAACUCAAAGGAAUUGACGGGGCCCCGCACAAGCAGCGGAGCAUGGGGCUUAAUUCGACGCAACGCGAAGAACCUUACCAAGGCUUGACAUAUACAGGAAUAUGGCAGAAAUGUCAUAGCCGCAAGGUCUGUAUACAGGUGGUGCAUGGUUGUCGUCAGCUCGUGUCGUGAGAUGUUGGGUUAAGUCCCGCAACGAGCGCAACCCUCGUUCUGUGUUGCCAGCAUUUAGUUGGGGACUCACAGGAGACUGCCGGGGUUAACUCGGAGGAAGGUGGGGAUGACGUCAAAUCAUCAUGCCCCUUAUGUCUUGGGCUGCACGCAUGCUACAAUGGCUGGUACAGACGGCUGCGAUACCGCAAGGUGGAGCGAAUCCGAUAAAGCCAGUCUCAGUUCGGAUUGGGGUCUGCAACUCGACCCCAUGAAGUCGGAGUUGCUAGUAAUCGUAGAUCAGCAACGCUACGGUGAAUACGUUCCCGGGGCUUGUACACACCGCCCGUCACGUCACGAAAGUCGGUAACACCCGAAGUCAGUGGCCCAACCGUAAGGGG